CCCCAAAUUAGAAGAGCUCAACCACCACAAGCCAUGCAGCAUGCUCUGAGGAUGCCUCAUCCUGAAAGUACAGGCUCAGCACACACUUGGGGAGGUCGACACAUUUCGCAAGUAGAAAAAAUGUAAACUCUAUGAGAGCAGGGUCUUGACUGGUUUGCCACCAUAUCCACAGAACCUAGGACAAGGAGUACCUGGUGAUGAAUGAAUGCCUUCCUGGCAGGUUUUUAUGUUCCUUAAGAAGUUGCUCCACGCGUAUCACACUGUCUCCGAUGUCUGUAAACUCCGCUUGCUCUGCCAGCAAAUUGUCCAGGGCAAGCUUAACCUGUAAGGCACAUUGGAACAUCCAGAAAUAAGCCCCGAGCACCUCUCUGGAGGUAUAGGAUACCCUCAGAACUAGGCAGAAAAUUCACUUCGGAUGCAGCCGCUGUGCUUUGAAAUGUGCCCCCAGGAAAUGGAAGCUCUUCUUGGAGAAGGACCCAAUAUGCAGAAGAGCCUGGGACACCUGCAUGCACAUGUUCUGAAGAUGUGCUCUGAGUCUCCAUCCAUGUGUAAGAAGCAUACACAGGAACAAGAUGGGUGUGCUAACAAUGAAUCAUGGAACACUACAUCAAAAACCUAAUGAUGUGGGCGCCUGGGUGGCUCAGUUGGU
Long non-coding RNA from Callorhinus ursinus (northern fur seal), 649 nucleotides. RefSeq lists it as uncharacterized. Lineage: Eukaryota; Metazoa; Chordata; Mammalia; Carnivora; Otariidae. The record is from RefSeq and is a predicted model, not a curated record.